RNAcentral lists this long non-coding RNA (206 nucleotides) under Elaeis guineensis (African oil palm). RNAcentral's name for it is "long non-coding RNA (EGUI_LNC066978)". Lineage: Eukaryota; Viridiplantae; Streptophyta; Magnoliopsida; Arecales; Arecaceae. The record is from RNAcentral.
CUGCAGUCACUCUCCAUUCUUUCUUAUAGUUUGUCAUCAACUACCACAUAAAUAAACUAAAUAUUAGCCUAUCUGAACUGCUGAAUAUGUUCAAAAUAGUAGAGAGCCAUUUCAAAGGUGAAAAGGCUCCAGUUCUUCUUAUAGAUAAGAUCUUCAAGAAGAAAGACAAGAAGAAUUCUAAGAAAAAGAUAAAUCCUAAGACUAGC